AACGAACGCUGGCGGCAUGCCUAACACAUGCAAGUCGAACGAAGGCUUCGGCCUUAGUGGCGCACGGGUGCGUAACGCGUGGGAAUCUGCCCUUUGGUUCGGAAUAACAGCUUGAAACGGCUGCUAAUACCGGAUGAUGACGAAAGUCCAAAGAUUUAUCGCCAGAGGAUGAGCCCGCGUUGGAUUAGGUAGUUGGUGGGGUAAAGGCCUACCAAGCCGACGAUCCAUAGCUGGUCUGAGAGGAUGAUCAGCCACACUGGGACUGAGACACGGCCCAGACUCCUACGGGAGGCAGCAGUGGGGAAUAUUAGGCAAGGGGCGCAAGCCUGAUCCAGCAAUGCCGCGUGAGUGAUGAAGGCCCUAGGGUUGUAAAACUCUUUUACACGGGAAGAUAAUGACUGUACCGGGAGAAUAAGCCCCGGCUAACUCCGUG
RNAcentral lists this ribosomal RNA (433 nucleotides) under uncultured bacterium. RNAcentral describes it as "partial 16S ribosomal RNA". It matches the Rfam family "Bacterial small subunit ribosomal RNA", at positions 29 to 507 of the family's 1533-position model. The record is from RNAcentral.